Molecule: unclassified non-coding RNA, 224 nt
Filed under: uncultured fungus
Lineage: Eukaryota; Fungi
Description: partial contains 18S rRNA, ITS1, 5.8S rRNA, ITS2 and 28S rRNA
Source: RNAcentral
AAGGAUCAUUAAUGAAUUAUAAGGGUGCUCUCUCUCAUCAGAGAGGCCCGAACUCUUCAUUCUUCUACACUGUGCACCUUUUAAAAUAAGAAUUCUUCCGAGUGUGUGAUUCCCUUAGGAUCUAACACAACGAGUCUUCUUCCAUUUUCAAAACUCUAAAGUCAAAGAAUGAAUACAAAAUACAAAAUAAAGAAAAACUUUCAACAACGGAUCUCUUGGCUCUC